Rattus norvegicus (Norway rat) is the source of this 29304-nucleotide non-coding RNA. The record is from RefSeq and is a predicted model, not a curated record. NCBI's taxonomy places the organism in Eukaryota, Metazoa, Chordata, Mammalia, Rodentia, Muridae.
UAAUAUUUUUUAUUUUUUAUGUUAUUAUCAUUUUAUCCAGCAUUACUGUAUCAUUAAUGGCAAUUUUAAGUCUCUCGUUUUGCCAGUUCAAAAAAAAAAAAAAAAAAGAAAGAAAGAAAGAAAAGAAAAAGAAAAAGAAAAACACGUAAUACUUUUCUUCAGUACAAAAGGUAGUCAUGACGGAAUAAGGCGCUUAAGGGGUUCUGUGAUAUGAGAUUUUCACAGCCUAGCUGGUUUCUGUAAAGUUUACAAGGAAAAGCUCGCAUUGCAACUUAAGUGCCACGAGGGGAGAAAUAUUCCCUUGCAUGUUCACUGCUGUAUGUCCCUUGUACCUGAUAAUUCAGGCACUUAUCAUCGGAAAGGGAGAAAAAAACGGAAGGAAAAACAUAAGUCCUGACGGCUGAAGGGCCAGUCUGUGAGUAUGUCCUCCAAUAUGCAACCGGACUCAUCUGCUAAAUGUGGCUGGCGAAAGGGGUAAAGGGGCAAGGCCAGGCAAGGCCUUCUUUCUAGACGGGCCUGUUAUUUUCUCUUUCUACGGGCAUUUUGUUACUUUUCAGUUUGGUCGCCGAGCUUUUCAGACAGGAUAACCCUAUGUAUUGCAGGCGCCAUUUUGAGGGAAUGACCUGAAUAAAUGGUUUCCUGACAGAACUCUGACCACGGUUCUGCACAGGACUUGUUUCAAAGGGUCUUCAGACACGGUUCUGGGGGGCAGGGGAGUGGCGCAAGUCUGUACAUCUGUGAGGCUCCGGCCUAGCUCUGCACUGAGCACUGUUCCUCGCGCAUGCUCUAUGCGUACCCCUCACAUACUCGGGUGGGCGACGUGGGUCCCCAGGCCCCCCGGCGAGGGCCGAGGGCUGCUGCCCAUUGGCUGAAGCCCAGGACAAGGCCAGCCACCCACAGUCUUUCCCUAGGGCGAGCCACCCACACCUCAGUGUUUCACAGGCUCCCGCCAAGUCUGCUCAGCUGCCUUGGAGGCCCUCGGCUCUCCUUCCACAGCCACCUUGGCUUUUUGCCCGUUGGCGGCCAGGCUGCCACUCCGCAGCUGCCCCAAGUAGCUGCUAGCCACAUGGCUUUGGUGGUGCCACCUUCGAGUUAUUUUUCAACCGGACUUCCAGCCGCCAUCAUGGUGAGUCGAGGGGAGGUCCCGGGUGACAGUGAAGACCAGCCCUAAGCUGCAGAUUCCUUACACGGGGUUGAAAUUCGGCUUUUUAGGUGUAGCACAAAGAAAUGGGGAGAGGGCAAAAGGGGUUCCUUCGAAUUGUCCAGUUCGCCCACUGGACAGCCCCAAGGGUUAGGCCUGGAGGGCGGGAGUCGUGGCCUUGCUGACUUUGCGGCCUACACAAGCACUGAGGGGCCCCGGGAAGAUGGCGGUCGGCCGGUGGCCAAUGGGAGCCCUGGGGACCUCGGGCUGGUCCAGGGUGGGCCAUGUGCAGGACCUGGGCAUCCUGUGACAGCCCUUUCCUGCCUUUGGGCGGAGGUGCCUGGAGGAGUAGGCCUUGGGUCAGGCCCGCGGCCGCCCACGCCCCACCCUGCCGCACAGGCCCUUGUCUGGAGCAGCUUCCGGGUAGGAGUCAGUGCGGGCUCCUUUGCCAGGUGGCGCCUAAGCUGGCAGCCUCAGAGCCUGUGGACUUUUGGAUUAGCUGCUGUGUCUAGGGUGACUUAGCAAGUAUGGUUAUUGGGAGGCUGGAGGCGGGCCUUCACAGGCUGCCAUUGGUCAGGCUCUGUGGACAGUGGUGCCUGAGUGGUGGAGGCAGCUUUGCCUCAGCUGUGUGUUUAACUUCUGGUGUGCAUGGGCUGGGGGAGAGCCAGAGGCCUAGCUGGGUUGAGGAAAGGGUGAAGGAGGGGAUAGCUAGACAGGACACGUGCUGUACCCCACUACAGGAUGCUAGCUUUAGAGCUUCCAGGAUAACUUAGGCUACAGUAAGACUCUGCCUCAGAAUCAGUACUGUAAACGUUGAUGGCCAUUUAGUCACAAAUCCCUUGUAUAUUGCAUCUUGUUUAUAAUUUUUUGCACUUUAAAGGUAAAGGAAGAAAUUCAUACAGUUUAGGACAGAUGUGAAAAUUAAGUUGGACUCUUGUAAACAUUUGCAAUAAUUGUGAAUCACAAUUGUGAAUUAUCUAUUACAGUAAUUAAGAUCGCACAAUACCGGACAGUUACUCACUACAUUAGUGUUUGAAAUGUGAGGACUUCAGACUUUAUAUUAGCUAGUAUUUGUGACAUACAUGGAAAUUUGCCUAGUACAGUGAUUUAAUUGCAUUUCAAAAACGUUAUCCUAAAAUCUUUAAUAACAGUAUUCUCAGCUUCUAGCACUAUUUGUUAUGUGGAUAUUCAAAUAUAAUGGAAUAUGUUACUGUACAUAAUAGCAAAGUUUGUGUGUGCUAGCCUCCAAGUUCAUUGCUGGUAUUCUAAUAUUUCCCGUUAAGUCAUGGCACAUUUGGAGAUAUAAUUAAUCUGCCUUAAAUUUAUUACAAUUUGUUUUCAGUAUGCUAUUACAGUCUAUUGGUGGGUAAGAUUAUACUUUUCCACCAGUGUCAGUAGUGGGCAUGUAGAUGUGUGGAAAAUCUCAACUAUUGGGGUGAGUGGGGACCAGAGGCCAAGGCAAGAGGAUCACUUGAGCCCUUUAGAAAUUCAAGUCAACUUUGGCAACAUAAGACGUCCUUUAAAAUCUGUUGUACUCAAGAAAUAGAGGCAUGAGUUUGAAGCCAGUCUGGUCUUCAUAGCAAGCUUCAGGCCAGCCAGAGUUACAUAAUAAGGCCCUAUCUCUUAAGUUUAAAACUUAACACUUUCUUGAACAUCAAAAUUUGACUUACAAGUAUUUGGUUGUAGAGUGGUUUUGAUCAUAUUUUAAAAGAAGUAACUAAAGCAUUUAUCAGUAGUGGGUGUUUUAAAUACAACAAUAUUGAGCAUACUGUAGGCAUUAGGUCUUAUUAAAAUGGAGUUCUUUGCUUUCUUGGUUUUGAGUGCCACCUACUCAAGGAUAAGGACCAGGAUAUGGUGCGCUUUCUUUAAUACAUUUUACACUAUUAGGAUGAAACCGAUUUUAUAUUUACUCUGGUGAAACAGGUAGUUUAAGCCCAAAUCAAGCAUCCUAUAAUAUUUACUGCUUUAUUUUCAUUCUCAGUAAACUUUUCUCAAACAUUCAUUUUACUUUUGUACACAGAAUACAUUUAGAAGACAUUUGAGAUUUUUUUUCUAAUUUUUGUAAGCAAGCAAACCACUAUUAUGAACAAUGAAAAGCAAGUUCUCCCAAACAAUUAUUUUGAUCUUUAGUUCUAGAGGUACCCAUUACAGGAUUUUUCAUCAUAUCCCUGUAGAGGUUUUGGUCCCAGUAAUACUUUGUUAUGGGAAUCCAUUGUUAUGGAAAUAUCCCUGGCUGCCUACCACAUGCCAGAAGUUUACUUCACUGGUGACAUCCAGAAAUGUUCUAGACAUUUAAUAGUACUGCUGCAGUACUGAGAAUCGGUGCAUUAUAACUUAUACUCUGGUUAACUGGUGAAAUAUUACACUUCUAAGUUGAAAUAUAUCCAUGUAUUAUGGUACAGACACCAGUAAAAAGAACCAUCAAGUGUAAAUAUAUUGUAAAUUCAUCCAUACAAGAAUGGGAUAUUGAGAAAUGGAAUCCUAUAAAAAUUAGAGAACUAAUGUUUUUUUGUUUUGAGUUUAUUUUUGAAUAAAAAAUUGAGUAGAGAUGGAUAGAUUGUCUAUUAGGAAAUCAAAUCAAGUCAGGUUCUAAAUAGUCCAGAAGAUGCAUAGCAUAUAUAAUAGUUCCAUUUAGAAUAAAACUGAAAUUGUAAGAUAGUGAAAGAAGGAAAAAAUUUAAUAAUCUUACUCCCUGCCAUUUCAUUAGCAUGAAAUAACACAAAGGGGAUUUACUGUUCAAAGGAAUAAGGUAGUUCUCAUGUAGGAAACAAAAUAGCAAAUAUGGCUUUAAGUAGAUAAAAGCAAAACAUGAUUUGACGAUUUUUCAUUUCUAAAGUUUUUAUUAAGUUAAUCUUUUAAAAACUAACUGACAUUUUUAGCUUCUUAACAUGUAUGCACACAUAUAAACAAGUUAUGUAUUCUAGCUUUUCCUUAAUAUUAUGUUUCAUGAAUCGAUUUUGAGUGGAUGUGACAUAAUAGUUUACUACAAUUCAAUUCAGUGAAUAAAGGCAGCUAAGAUAGGAAAAUCUAGUGGGGGCGACUUUUCUAACUUCAUUGAAACAAAUUCAAAUACAGCAUGCUACUUUAUACUUUAUAAAAUGAGAUUAACCAAUGUUAGUCAUUAUCAGAGCAAUCUGUCAGAGAUACACUCUGGUAAGCAUGCUGCUUAUGAAUUAACUUAGUAAGAGGCAUAAAUGUAGGUGUUUUGACUAAGUCCAUUUCUGUUGUGCUCUGUUGUAUUGCCUCUUCCAUACACACAUUCCCAAUAAGUUGUACUUAGAAAAAUUCAUGUUAACCAAUUAAGAAUCUACUGUAUGUUGAUUGAAGAGAGUUUGGAUCAAAAUCAGGAAAAAACGAGUUGUAUGCGUAGAAUAUCUGAAAAUAAAAGAUGGUGUUGUUUCUAUUAACCACUGAAAAUUUCGAGAUGGCAGUGGGGCUUAUAUGGUAUUAUUCAGGAAACAGCUAUUUGAGAACAUGCAUUAAACAUGGUAGUGUUAAGGAAUAGGAACAGAAUUCAUGUAUUUCUAAAGUCAGUGGGACAUUAAUGUGGGAGUGUUAAGAUUUAUAUUAAUUUGAUAACAGAAGGGCAAAGAUAAAAGACUGAUUUGAGAAUUCGAUACUUUUCUGUUUGGGAUUUUGAACAGGUGUUUUGUUUACUUUGGAGUUUUAAUAUGCUUUUGAUUUAACAUACUCAGUAACAUUAAAAUUUAAUAAUUUACUUCUUCCCUUCCAAUUUGUAGCCCUUUGAGCUCAUUUCACUGUCUGAUUUCUCUGGCUAGGACUUCGAGAAGUAUAUUGAAUAAGUAGGGAGACAGUGGGCAGUCUUGUCUAGGCCCUGAUUUUAGAGGGAUUGCUUCACGUUUCUCUCCAUUUAGUUUAAUGUUAGCUACUGGCUUGCUCUAUAUUGCUUUUAAUAUGUUUAGGUGUGGGCUUUGAAUUUCUGAUCUUUCCAGGACUUUAUUCAUGAAGGGGUGUUGAAUUUAGUCAAAUGCAUCUUAGCCGUGAAUUGAGUGAUCAUGCUGUUUUUUCUUUGAGUUUGUUUAUAUAGUGGGUUACCUUGAUGGAUUUUCAUAUAUUGCACUAUUCCUUCAUCCCUGGGAUGAAGCAUACUUGAUCAAGAUGGAUGAUCGUUUUGAUGUGUUCUUGGAUUUAGCUUGCAAGAAUUUUAUUGAGUGUUUUUGGGUUGAUAUUAAUAACGGAAUUUGGUCUGAAGUUCUCUUUCUUUGUUGGGUCUUUGUGUGCCUUAGGAUAAGCAUAAUUGUGGCUUCAUAGAAGGAAUUUGAUAGUGCUCCAUUUGUUUCUAUUUUGUGGACUCCAGGGGGCAGUCAAUCAUCAUUUCUUUAAUUGAUAUUUUUAAAAAAAUAUUUAAAGCACUUUAUUUAACAGUGUGGCUAGUAGUCAAUCCACAGUGGUGCUUGGUAAUCUCACUAUAGGAAGUUUGAGCCUUAAUUAUGUCUUAUGGGAAGAAAGGCAUUAGAGGUGUAGAGGUUCUUGACACUUAAAGCUCCAGAAUCCAGCUGUUACUAAUGCAGAUACUCACGCAGGGUUGUAGGUAUAAAUAUUGGAAAUUUAAGCCGAUGAAAUAGGAAGAUUGCACUAAAUUUUACAAGAAGGUUCCCUGAGGGGGUUAAUAGGUGUCCUUAGGUAAAUUUGGGAAACCUGGGGUCAAGUUAAGUGGAUUACUGCUAUCUGUCCCAGAGGUCUACCUUCAUGAAUAGCAGUGUCUCUUUUCCUCUCCUUGUGAUCAACUCUGUAAGCACAUAGGUUAUUGUGUCCUUCUCACUCUGCCCUGAAGACACAGAGCAGGUUGCAGCCUGUCCCUGUCUGUCCAACUGUCCAUUCAGUGACUCACACACUAUACCCAUUUUCAUCUCUGGUCCUCCUACGGUACGUUUAGAGUUUGUGGUCCAGCUCUUCCCCUCUCUUUGACCUCCUCUCCAUCGCUUGGAGGUCAGCAGCAAUGUGAGACCCACUGCAAGUCCUUCCUGGGCUUCUCUUUGAGCUGAUGCCCAAGACACUGUGCUGGGAAGCCAGCCCAGGAUGCACCCUGGGGUGGGUGUGGCUGGCCCAGAAGGAAGCUUCCCUGAAAGGUGGGAAGACCAAGUGCUGUCUUCUCCAGCAUUCACAUGGUUAAGGUUGUAAUCCCUGAUGUGAUAUCAUUUGAGGGAAAGUUAAAGAGGUAAAGAGGGUGGGGCUCUGAGACCUCAUGGUGGGACUAAUGGCCUGAUUUUUAAAAAGAGAUCAAAACUCAAAAUAUAUAGUUCUUUGUGAACCUAGCCUUUCACAGCUGAACUAUCUCUCCAGCCCUAUACUUAACCAAGACGCUAUUUGCAAUUAAUGCCCACUUGUAAGGGGAAAUUCAGGUUUCUCCAGUGAGGUGUCACUGGGCAUAUCAACCACACUUAAGAGCAGGUUCAGGAGUAGUUGUCCAACACAAAACAAACUCAGUGUUGGUAUAGUUUCUGUUUUAUUUUGGCCAUUUUGUCUUGGUUUUGUUUGUUUUGAUUUUCAUCUUUUUGGGUGUUUCUUUUUGUUUUUCAGAGAGAGGGAGGGAUGGAGGGAGGGAGAGAGGGAGGGCGGGAAGGGAGUGAGGGGGGGAAGAAGAGAGAGGAAGAGAGGAAUAGCAGUAUUAAAAAGAGAAUUAGUACCUAUAGAAAGUUUAGGGCAGAGGAGGAGCUGGGAAGGGCUAGUAUGCUCGCAUGGACUGGGAAAUAUGGGAUGGGUACUUGUUAUACUGAAGGAGCCUGAAGGCCAGCGUGAGCAUUGGUGUGCUGACAGAUACCACAGGUAGCCAUUUGUCUCUCUGCCUUUCAUAGAUAGCAAUGAGUUUCACAAUUCCUGAGGGAUGCUGGCUAUUAUCUAACCACCAGAAACCCUCCUGUAGUCCAGGCUGAGCUCAUACCUGGAUAUUUGGACUGCCUCUUGGAGUCAGGGGAAUUGGAGUUUCCUUUGGCUCUGACAGUGAACUUUAUUUUAAACAUGAAUACAGUCAAGUCUUGUUUAUCUAUUUUGUUUUUGAUACUGCAGUUUUGGAGUCACAGACAGGAAAACUGCCACAUACAAUGUCAUGAAAAUUUACACCUAUGUUUUAAUGUGUGAGUUUUAUAAUGUUAGCUCUUUUUAUAACGUAAAAAAAGCUUUAUUCAUUUUAUGAGUACACUGUAGCUGUCUUCAGACACACCAGAAGAGGGCAUCAGAGCCCCAUUACAGAUGAUUCUGAGCCACCAUGUGUUUCCUGGGAAUUGAACUCAGGACCGCUGGAAGAGCAGUCAGUGCUCUCAACCACUGAGGCAUCUCUCCAGCCCAUAACUUUAGCUCUUAACUUUGACUCAGUUACUUAUUCAAGUUAGUUAUGUGUUUAAAGUGUGAGGUGUAGGUUACACGGUAAGCAAUUUGACUUCAUCCAAAAAGAUAGCUAGUUUCUUUUCUCACCUUGGUAGUCUAUGCCACACAUGAUGGGAGUCUCGUAUUUCAGUAGAAACUGACCACAUUUAAAAGGCUACUCAUGUGAUUCCAAGUGGAGUCUGACCAUUCCAGAAAGCCAACUAUGUAAACCAGGGGACGAUGAGCCACAUGGUUCAGUUGAUCUAGAGACCAGCUUCCAUCAUGUUACCAAUUAGUCAGUCUUGUGCAUGUAAUAAAAACCCAGUUCAGACUCUGAAAAUAGAAGCUUAGAUGUACUCUCUUGCCUGUGUGUGCUCUGUGAUUUUUACUCGUUAGUGCCCGGAGUUGUUCACGUGCACUUACAGGAAGAAGAAAAACUUGUUUGGAACCUCCUCAGGAAGACUGUCCUGUAUUUUGCUACUUUGGCUGGUUUGGAUCUGCACACUUUCUCCAUGAUAAAUAGUGUGAUUCAGUGAUUAUAGUGAAGUGUAAGUAUAGCAAAUUAUGAAAGCGGGAUGUGGAUUGAGGGAAGACUGUGAACUUGUAGGAGGUAUCAGUAGUUAGGCUUCUCAUGUGUCUUGUUCUUUCUAAUCUUGUAAUUGGCUUUGAAAGACGACAGGUGGUGGCAGAAGCAGGGUUUGUGAGCCCAAACCUGACUUGUUAGAGCAUGCUAGUGGGAAAAAGAAACACGACCAGGCUGGUUUGGGAAACUUUGAUUUCUGGGUGGAUGCAGAGUUACUUGUGAUGUGGAGGUGCAGUUUUCUGUGUCAGUUACUAGGAGACCUUUCCAGGGCAAUUGUAAAGUGAUACAACAUAGUCCUAAGGAGCUGUCUCACUGCUUGCGUAGGAAAUGAAGAGGAACAAGAAGGAAAUGGGAUGUGUAGUCUCUUAGUCAUUUUUAUCUGUCAUAGCUGGUGGAUGGAAAGGAAAAUGCUGGGGUCAAUUCUGAUGCUGACUAAGACUUAGCCUCUAGCUACUUUUAUGUAAACUUUAAUUUAAAAUGUAAUUUUAUCACCCCCUCCCUCCCCUCUCCUUCUUCUAACUCCUCACAUGCCCACUUGGUCCAUCUCAAAUUCACAUCCUCUUUUUCUUUAAUCAAGAUUGUCAUAUGUAUGUACGUAUGUAUGUAUAGAUAGAUAGAUAGACAUAUCUAUAUAUAUAUAUAUAUCAUAUGUUAUAUCAUUGAUGAUUCAUAUAUAUGCAUAUAUGAUACAUAAAACACAUAAAUAUAUAAAUACAAGUAGCAGAAUUGUUUUCUGUUAUUUGUAUGAAUGUUUUCAGGGAUAACCACCUGGUAUUGGAUAACCAAUUAGGGUUCUUGUCAUGAGGAGGACUAUUUUCUCUCACUCUCAGCUUUCCUUAGCUAGCUGUAGUUCCUUGUCUAAGGUUGGUACCUUGUAAGGUUUCCCAUGUCUAUUGGUCUAUUAGCUUGUGGAGCACCCUACAAAGGAUGCAGUUGAAAUUAAACUAAGAGAAAGGAUAUACGUAAGUCUUCAUAUUGGGCCAAUCUUAGGCCCAUUCUGGACUAAGAACUUCACGGCCUGUUCUAAAGGAAAAUGCACUGUUGAACCCAUUGUGAAGAAGCUCAGGAUGUUUUACAAGACAGUGGAUAAGCAAAGAGGAAAAUAAAUUUUAAAAAUCAUCCAGACAGAGUCAAAGGACAUUAUUAAUAAAUGGGAUGCAUAAAGAAACAUGACUGGAGCCAAAAUCAAAGCCACAGUGCUACAGCUCAGAAGGCAGCUAGACAGAGGCCACCUUCCAGGUCUCCAUACAGAAAGGCUCUAAGCAAAUUAAGUUAGUUGUUGGUGUUAGGGAGAGAGUCAAAGGACCAUCAGAUGCAGGUGUACAUGAGCCUUCUAACUGGGGCAAACCUCACUCUGUGAUGAGCAGGGUAAGUAGUAAGGCUGGAGAAUCACGUUACUAGACCAAGUAGCAUAAUAGGAGUCUAAGUAUUUAAAAAACUAAAUCCAUUUAAACUACCUAAAUGAAACAAUUAGGUUUCAUUCAGAUAUAAGCAAGAAUAACAGGAGAUCACGGUAAACCCUAAGCUAACCCUAGCUCUUUCUAUUGAUUGCAUAAUGGAUAUACUAGUUGUUUCCUGUGGCUUCGUCUGUAGUGUAACCAUGGAUACAAAGGUGGAGCAGCCUGAGUGGAGCUAAGUCACAGUUUGGGAGGGAGUGAUAAUUGUUGACUUCAUGCUUUUCUGUUGUUGUUGUUUUGUUUUUUUUUUUCUUGAGUAACUUGGGAUAUGUUUCCUAGUAGGAUACAAUCACCACUGUAGAGAACACCCACUGUCCAUCUUGCAGUUUAUAGGAUUGUGAAAGAGCAGUGUCUCUCUACUGGGGUAAUCAUUUUCCUCCAGAUAGAUCGAUCAAGAUCUAGAGCUAUUUUGUCACAGCUAACAUGAGAGUUGGGCAGUAAUAGCUCAGUAAGUAAACACCAGGACACCUUUAAAGACCCUACAGUCCAUGGGCUGCUCCUUCCCCUCCGACAAGUACAUUUCCAGCUUACAUUUUCAAGAGUGAAAAGUUUAACACCCUCCCCAACCUCUGUUACAUUGCAGAUCUAUAUACCCAGGGUAAAAACCAAACUGUACAACCAAACCAAUGUCUCUCUAGCUGGGUUUCAUGCACCAAUAAAAAGUGUCAGUUACAGUAUCCUCAUGCCUACUCUUUCUUCAUAACUGACAGUGUAUUUACAGAACACCUUCAUUGCAAAACCAACUGUUUACAUUACUUGCAAUAUAAUGUCAACAUGCUAACUAUAGCCCUUCUUCAACUGUAGAAACUCAGUCCCUUGGGCCAGGAUGGGCUCCUCCACCAACUAAGCAAGGAUAUUUUUGGGUCUCCCUUGUGGGUGCUGUUGCUGGUAGGCAGUAGGAUAAAAAAAAUGAUACAGAAGCCCAGGAAAGGCAUAGAGGGAAUCAUUAAAAUAGUAAAGAUCUAGCCAUAUAAGCAAAUUCAGGGAUCCAACCCAGUGUUUCUCUUCUUUCCAAGAUAGGAGGAUGAGAAAAGGAAAAUCUACAGUUGCCAAGGCAGGGAGAGCCAGGUGAUCUCCAGGCUGUCAUCCACAAGUCACCUGACUCUUUAUCCUGCUCAUCACAGAAUGAGGUCUGCCCAGUUAGGUUCAUGUUACUCCUGGGACCUGUGGUCAAGCAUGGUACACUGUUCUUAUAGUUCUAUUUUAUGGGGAAAUUUGGCCCAGAGGAAAAUAGAGAUAUUGUCUGAGUCUACAGGGCAAGAUCUGAUUCUGAAUCCCUUAAGUCUGAUUCUUAGAUGAAGAUCGUUAACCUUGGAGAUAGGGAAAAUAAUACCAUGAAUAUUUCAAAAUAUUUCUAAUACCUCUAUCCCUAAUUUUGGAUUUAGAUGUUCUUACAUUCAGUUUGUUAAUUAAUGAGUGCAGUGGGCAGAGCCUGCCUCAGGACCACAGUAGUGGGUAGGAAAGAAACAGGUGUGUCUGUCUCUCACAAAGUACAUGGAAGAGAGGGAAGUCAGAGAGGUGGACUGUUAAAGCUGAUCUGUGGUGAAAUUCAGGAAACACAGAUGUCACAACGUUAACUAUUUUAAGGAUACAGUGACAUUAAGUGACUAAACGCUACUGUGAAACCACCAUCACCAUCAUUCCUAAAAUGUGCACCACCAGAAAUAAGGAUUCUGUAUUAGUUAAAGAGUAACUCAGUGCUUCUCCUCUAGAGCUCCUGAUCCACUUGCUUACAUUUUAUGGAUUUGCCUGUUCCUCAUACAUGUGAAAUCAUGAAACAUUUGUUCUGUACUAAUAUAUCACUUAUUUACCCAUGUUGUGGUUUCAUAUAAAAAUCCAUUCUUUUUAAAGAGCUGAUUAAUAAUAGUCCAUUGAAUGGAUCCAGUACAUUUCUGUUUGUCCAUUUGUUGGAUGACACCUAUUUGACAUCUUUCCAUCUAUUUUUAUAUGAGCAUUAGUUUACAAAUAUCUUAAUUAUGUUUUUACUUAUUUACUCUGUGUGCGUCUUUGUCUGGGUCUGUGUGGUGUGUGUGCAUGUGUGUAUCAGAAGACAACUAAAGGGAAUUAGCUUCCUCUCUCUACCAUAUGGGUCUCAGGGAUCAAACUAUGUCCGUCAUGCUUAGCUCGGCUGUCAACCCUUAAGGUCCUCUUUGGCAUAUAUGUAGAAGUAGAAUUGCUGGUAAUUUCUGUGUUUAAUAUUUCUGUGGGGGUGGUGAGUGGAAAUGAUUAUGGUGUGCUUUUCCAUGAGGUGUUGUGAUGCUUAAUCUCAGUUGUCAACCUGAUGAAUGUGGAAUCAUCUGGGAGAUCGAGUCUAGGUGGUGCCUGUGGGGGAUUCUGUGAUCUUGCAUCAUGUCUAGCACCAAUGGUAGAGCACAUGACAAGGUGUAAGAGCCGUUGUCCCGUUUCCUCGCUCUCUGUUUCCUGACUGCGGCUGUGAUGUGACCAGCUGCCCUAAGCCCCUGAUGCUGAGCCUUCUCUAAUUAUGGACAUAACCUUGAACUCUGCACCCUUAAGUUGCUUUUGUUGGGUAUUUUUAUCAUAGCCAAAGGAAAAGCCACCAAGAUAGAUGAUUGGCAACCAGAAAAUUUUUUUUUUGCUUUUAUUUUUCAUCUUGAAAAACAGUCUGUAAUAUUUAUGCUCCUAUAGAACAAACAGAACACUUCAUAACUUCUACAGCUCAGACCACAUGACUGGGGCCAAUUAUUGCUUCCCCAAAUAAUACUUUAUCCCCCACUCUGGGUUAUUCUAUUUUUUUGCCUGGUAGAACUUGGGCAAUAAAGAGGUAACCUGUCUCCUGUGAACCUUUUAUUUUAACACAAAAAUCACAUCCCAGCUACCUGGACCUCUCAUUCCUUCUAGGGAGGAAAACUUGAAUAGAAUUGUUCAUUGACUCAGCCCACUCAGCCACCUAGCGCGGGUGAGUCAAGACCCUUUCCUUUCCGAUAUUCGUUUUUACUUUAUUAUCAUGUGCAAAUGCUAUAGAUGUUUUCUAGGCAUCUCCAAACUUCUUUAAAUGACUCAUGUGUUUAUAAAUACUUUGGCUAUGGUAUUUUAUUUCUAGCAAGUAUUUCCUCAUGAUUUUUCAAAAACCAUUCAAGUCAUAUACUUUAAAAAGAAGAUCAUUCUUUUUCUUGGAUGAGGGAGAUAGUUCAGUUGGUAGACUGCUUGCCUUCCAAGAAUGAAGACAACCUGAUUUUGAUUCCUUAAAUUCACAUAAUAAAGUCAGAUGUGGUGAUGCAUGCUUUUAACACCAAGAUAGGGAAGAGGAGGCAAGAGAAUAACUGCAUGCCACUGUUGGUCUGCGUUCUGCUCACCUCAGGGCAGGGAUGGCAGCUCAGGAGGCAAAACAUCUUUGGUUGGGGAGGGGUUUGACUGUGCUUACCCAGCCAUAGCCAGUUGGGUGCUGGGUUUCAGGGAAGACUCAGCUCCAGGUGAGGGAAAGCACAGUCUGAGAUGUGUGAAAGCCAGAGCUGGUUCAGGGGUCUUUGGCCUGCAAUGAGGGUGGUGCUGCGGGGUUCCUCUGACUCUCCGACAUCCAGAUGCUGCUGGGAGUCUUGGAACAGCCUAGAACUGAGUCAGAGGACCUGCAGGCUGAGGACAGCAUCUAGCCUGGGGCAGGAGUGGUGGAGUAGGGAUGGAGGAAGAGGGUUUCCAGCUUAGCUGCUGUGACUGUCCUUAGCUUGGUGGUGGUUGUCUGGGAGUACAGAUGAGCCUUCUACAGGAGACUUAGCUGUGGUUCUGUAGGCCUUUUCCACGCUGCCCUGGUGGAUCUUGAUGAAAGACAGCCCAUGUUUCUAAACUGUUCAUUCAUUAUUCAUGGCAGAAAAUGGAUCCAUACCCUACAUCUCAGGGUGGACCCAAGAUUAAAUACCUUUUGGAUGGAGGAAUGUCUGGAAGGGAAGCUUAUUGGCCAAGUCCUCAGGGCCUCUAGGUACCUCAUUAGCAUGGAGAACUCUGCUCUGGGCCCACAAGACUACAGGCCAGGUUUCCUUAUGUGGGGAAUGUGGCACAUGUUCCAGGCCAGGAAUCUGUCACCUAAGUCUCAGGUGUGUGCCCACCAACUCUCUGGGUCUCAAACUGCUCCACCUUAGCAAACUUUCUGGUGUUGUUUUACCAUCCCACAUUCCACUAGCCACCGCACUAGCAAAUUCUGGAUUUCCAAACAAAUGAGAAAACAUUUGGUAAAUGGCUCCUGAGAAACAACAACCAAUGCUGUUCUAUAACCAAUUGUCACACACACACACACACAGACACACACACACAUACACACAUACCAUACUUUUCUCUUUUUUUAUGAGCAACGGUUUUACCAAGGUUAUCUCUCAGGAGACUUUAUAACCAUUCCUUUGAUUAAUUAAUAUUCAUUUAACAACAGAGAAAUCAAUAUUUGGAUUCCAUAGUUCCCAUUUUAUAACUGGAUCUUGUAUUUUAAUUAGGAAUAUUGAUGAUGCCCAAUAUAAACGUAACAUAUUUCCAUAUUUCCUUUCUUACUUUGUAUUUAAGAUAUGUGAUAAUGCAUGUGUGUAUGAGAGACCCCAUAUCUUGAUGUGCACUUGUCCAUUCUUUCACAAAGAUAGUUUAAAGUAGUAAAAGUGUGGCCAAGUACUUUUAUGGUUAAGAAAUAAGGGGAGCAUUAGGACAAGUUUUAGUGACAGAGCACUAGGCCACACUCACUGCUGUCACCCACCUUGCACUGUCCUCAUGUGCGUUUUGCUGAACGAGCAAUCCCUUUCUCCCAGGAUGGUAGCAUUUUCGUCUUUUUACACCAUCUUCUUAUAACAGAGGAUGUAGUUCACUUCUGCCUUGUUUGCCUACUCUCUCAAAAUAUGACAAUGUGACAGCUGAGUGGGAAAGGAGCUGAAGGGUUGGUCAAAAGCUACCAAGGGUCUCAGCCAGAGUGUCUUCCUUCAACCCACCAUUGUGAGUCACGGUUCCUCCUGACUUUAAGUCAGUGACCUUCAGGAGGAUUUUAGGUAACUUUCAAGGCUAGGUGAUAUGACAAGGGAUAGCAUCUUCCUGACUCUUCCAAAACUCCUUUGACCUAGUACGAUGCUGUAAGGAAUCUAAGUGAGCACAUGGAGAGGUCAUCCAUGACUGUUUAGCAGAUAGCUCCAGCUGAGGUCCACGUUAAUGGCAGUCAGCCAGCAUCAGCUGCUGACCUGAGAGUAACACAGGCUGCUCUUGCCCUCUAGGUUUAGACCUUCUCCAGUGACCUGAUGGAGCUGACAGACAAAUUGCAGACUAAUGAGCUAAUACUAAUACCUCUUGUGAUUUUAAGAUAAUUGACCUACUGGUCACUGCACAAAGCUUCCUGCAAGUGCUACAUGGUCCCACUGCACAGAAGUCCCACUCAGUCCUUUCCACCAUAUAAUAAUUAGGUACUGUGUUAUGACCAAUCAGCCUUUCCUGCCUGUAAAUCCCCCACCCCACCCCACAAAAAAACCUCUGAGGAAAGUCACACAGCCUAUGGCCAGAUUACAGCUUCAGCUUCCUCUUGCCUGAUAAGAACUUGCCAGUUGGUUCUCGGAAUUCCUCUUCAUGUAAGUGAAUUGUCCCAGCCCUAGCCAAUAAUGGAGACCUACCCUGAAAAUCCCUACCCACUCCCCAAGAUCUACCUUGUUCACUCCAAUACAGUUGAUUUGUCUCACUGAAGCUGUUUCUGGAGGUACUCAUGGCUAAACUCUGCCCCCCUAAAGGCUGGAUAAUAUUCCAGUAUGCAGACACAUUACAUCACAAACUUUUCCAUUUGGGUGUAAGUCCAACUCAUUCAUUCAUUCAUUUAAGCAGGGCCCCAAAAAGUAGACUAGGCUUGUCUCGAACUGGUAGUGGGCCUCCUGCCUUUGCCUCUUAUGUGUUUGAAGAGAACUGUCAUGUGCCACAACGGCUGUCUCUUACUUUUUCACUCCACUGCCUCAUCCUUUUGUUGCCAUAUUUAAGAAAUUACAGACAAAUGUUAAGUCAAGGAGACUUGUGCCUGCAUAUUCUAAGUUUUAUCUCCAUCUUGAGUUUUAUUGCAUACGUUGGUAUAUGAUAAGAGGAAAGGGUCCAGCUUCACUCUUUUGCCUAUGAGAAAUUUAGCCUUCUGAGCCCCAUUGUUCAUGGUGUUGGACAUCCAUGGAAAGGAUGACUUCCUGACUGUAGAUUAUUCCAUAGCAUGCUAUUAAUUAUUCCUCAUCCUCCCGUAGUGCUGGAGAAAUGCGUAUCAUUUACUCCUUGCCCAGACCUUCCUUUAGAGAACCCGUCCACCUCACAGCUCCAGAUAGGCAAUCUCAUGACUCUUGGAUGUGGUUGACUGACUACUUCAUGGAGACAUACUCAGCCAAAGCUGACUUAUCAGGCUUUACUCUGGAUAUGUGUUACCCACAAAGAUCCAUUAUGAAUUCAGUUAGCUCUCAAGGAUUGCACUGUAGGAGAUAGUUUGGUGUAGGGUCUGGUGGAAGAUCUUUAGGUCACUGGGGAAAUAACCCAAGUGUAGGAUCUUUUCCUCAAGAGACCCAUUGAUGUAUAGACAGAGUAGAUAUAAAAGCCUGAGUUUGGCUUCACCCAAGUUCCCUCUCCGUUCCCUCUCCAUCCUCCUCUCCCUUCCUCUUCUUUUCUCCUUCCCUGUCUCAUUGCUGCUGCUUCCUUAAACAAGAUAGAUCAUUCCUCUCCCCACAGGUCACACUUUGACAUUCACCAUGAAGCCCUCAGUCAGAAUUCAUUAUUGGUGACUUUUGUCUUCUAUAAUAUCAAAUGUACUUUGCAAACAACACCAUACCAAAUGACUAUGCUAAUGAGAAAACAAACAAAAUGUAAACAAAUAUUCUCAGGGUUUGGUUCUUAUGGGUGGAUUGAUGUCUAUGUGCAGAUGAGGGCAGGCACAAGAUAAGGCAAGGCCUGUGAUUGGGCAGUGAAAAAGUAAGGAGGGCACAAAGAUUUGAAGAGAGGAGAGCGAGAAAGGAGAAGAACCAAGAUGGAGGAGGAGAAGGACAAGCCAGGUCUGUGUGGCCUUAAAGGGCCACAGGUAGCAAGUUGGGUUGAGAUGCUUUGUUGAUUAAGAUGCCGUGUGACCUGCUGGAGCCGGCACUGGUGUGGGUUGAGAGAUUUUUUUUUUAAUAUUUACCGCUACACUUAUGCUAAGUAUCUAGUCAGGAAUCUUAUAAAAACUGCAGAAAUUAUAUUUGAAUUUAACAGUCAUAACACAGUUCUUUAACUGUUGUUUAAAUAGUCUUUAAGUGUUACCAUUGAUUUAGAAUUGGCUUAGUAAUGAGGCAUAUAAGCCUCAAAUAAGUAUAAUUUAAAUCUAAGUGUAAUUUUCUCUCAAGAAGGCCAGGUCUCUACCCAGAACCUCUGUGUCCCGUGCCAUGGUGACAGGCAUCUGGUGCUGCUCUCCUACAACACAGCUCAGGGGCAAAAUUCUAAGAUCUCCUCAGCAUUCCUAUCAACUGGAGAGUCUAAGAAUGCACUUAAAGACACUUAUCCCAACUUGCUUCUAGUACUUCUGUUUAUAUCUUAUUGGGCAGAACCAAAUCAGAUAGGAUUCUGGGAAAUGUAGUUUCUACUGGAGGCAGCCAUGUCCCUGUCUAGAAUCUGAGAGUUUUGUUGCUAAGGUUGGUUGAGAUAACAGGUAGUAGAGACAAAUCGGAUUUGGUCAUACUUUGAGAUAAAAUGUGAACUCACUGUCAAUGAAGUCUUGACCAACCAGAUAUAGCUUGCUCUCCUGCUUCCUAAAGGGGUUUGAUGUUGCUUCUAACCUUUGUUUUGUUUACCUUUUCUCUCAGGUGGAGGACUCCAUCCCACCUUUGCACAUGCACUUACUGCUGGGAUUAAGGAACCCUGCAGUAGAUGCUCUGUCACCAUGAAUAUCUUCAUAUCUAAUAUCUAAUAUCGCUAAUACUUCUGCUUUGUAGCAACUAUGACCAUUGAAAGUGCAAGUUAUUUACCUUCUGGUUCACUUUGUUCUGCUUCAUCUUUAUCUUUAAGCCUCUAAGUCCUAUGAAUCAGGGGCUUGGUUUGGCUCAUGCCUGUAUUCCCAGCAUUAUACUAAUUAGUUUCUUAUUAAGUUGUCCCUACUCCAUGGGAAAACUCACGGUUUAUUUGAUUAAACAAAACUAAAAUGAUCUGCCUAGAAAUAAUUUUAAAGUCUCCCAUAGCUGAUCCAGCAACUCCUCUAUUCUUCUCCAGCCUCUGUGGACCACAGCAAUGUAUUCAGAAGCUCGUGACCUCACAUAAUAGGUUUCAGACAAUUCCUUACAGCUCCUUCAUCUGUUCACCGUCUGCCAUGCAACCCCCAAUGUUAUUAUUUAAGUUUUAAAGGAAAAAGAAAAACCAAAGGAAAACAAUGGCAGGAUAUGGGGAUUUGUAAUUGAAAAAAAGUUCAAAAAAGUCUUAUGGAAUCAACUAAUGAGCUUUCAGAUAGAACGACUUCAUGGAAUGACACAGUCUAGUUUUCUCAAUGUCACUGAAUGAAAGUUUCACUUCACAUUCAAAGUCUUCCUCAAAUGCCCUGGUUUCGUCCCCUGCCUUGGUAGGGACAGCAUGCCCCCUGAGCAUUUGCCCUGUCCUGGGCAGCCAGAGGCUUGCCGUGGCCGAGGACCAGUGUACUAUCUGCCAGUCUAUGCUGACCCAGCCAACAAAAACUGAGGAAGAGGGCACCUCAUGGAAGCUGUUGUACUCUGGGUGGUGCUGUGUUCCAAAAUCUGCUUUAGACACAUGUGUGCAGCAGAAACCUUGUUUUUACCCCUAAAGUGGCAUGUCAAAAAAAAAAAAUCAGGUACUUCUGCUUCUGAAUUGGCAGAGGAUUUAUUUUAUGCAUAAUUUUCCAUGUUUCUUGGGAAGAAAAGAAUGCACCUCUUUUAUAAGUGCUUCAUUCCUUUCCACCAAUGUGAGCCAUCUUGAGAUCUCUGCAGGAUAGAAACCAAACCAAAUGGGCACCGUGGGUUGCCCAGGGGCAGGGCAUGGGAGUGGGGUCAGAAGAAUAGAAAUCUGUCUGUCAAUCCUCUCCCCCUCUCCCCUUUUCACCCACAAAGGCAAAAGACUCUUUCAUUAGGGGCUCCACAGAUCCAAUCCAUCCCUGCUAGGUGAGCCUUUCCUAGAAACAAGCACAAAAGGGAUCUAGCAGCAAAGCAAGCACUGAGGGAGUGAGAUGGGCUACCAAGAGAGGAGAGGAAAAAAAUCAAUAAUGAAAAGGAGCAUUUCAGUAUAAUUUAAUCUUCUGUUUCAAUAAAGGCAUUUAUUACCAUAUAAAUGUAGCAAAGAGCCUGGGAUAAUAUGAAAAAUGAGUUUUAUUAGAUAAUUAUGAUACAAAAAUUAUAUUCAAUGAGAAAGUGACCCAAAAAAAACUUUAGAAAGUUUACUAUGUAGGUAGGGAGAGAAGAAAAUACAUUUCUAUUCAGAUUCAAAUUUUAAUUUUUUAAUAUAUGUUUGGGUUUAAGCUCUUUUUGCCCCCCACAUUUUCGGGGGAGAAAUAUCAUUUGAUUUUCUUAUGGGAGUAUUCUGGAUGGAGAGUAGAGAGGGGAUGGGAGGUGGUCCCUCCUAGGGCCCCGACAAUAGAUUUGCUUUCACUCUGUGGGAUCCCCUUCCCCCUUUCUGAACCCAACCCCCAGGAGAGUAAGCAGAGCCAAACAAAGGAAGGGAUUAAACAGAAAAGAAGUGUGGGACUAAAAACUGAGGGUCUUAGAGUUUCCUUCUUUCCCCUUCUCUGAGCAAUUGGCAGUUAGUAGGGAAAAGUCAGGUCUAACAGGCCUGGAGAAACCCUCAGAGGUGUGAGAUGUAAAGAAAUAGAUUUUUUUAACCAUUUUUUCUGUGGAUGAGAGGAUAAACUGAGGGAUUUAAAAGAAGAGAAUACUACAAAAUAAUUGAAAUUUAUUUCAUAUAAUCCUAGAGAAAGAAAAAGAAUUACUAGUUACUUAGUAGAGGAUAGUCAGAGAGCUUAAAGUUUAGUAGCAUUAUGGGCCCCUGAGCGAAGUAGAAUGGAGAAAAGUAUGGGGGAAUAAAAGAAUAGAGGCCAGUGGCUAAGCUGCCCUAACCCUGAGGACAGGGCUAGGGCAGGCUGUUAACUAGGGUUGGGAGCUUCCAGUCUGCUGGGGUUGAUUCUGAGAAUCCUUAGGUUUAAGUACAGGACAAGUACAUGAGAGCUCUGUCCCAGGGCAUUUGCAAGGGUCAUCUGAAUCUCGGUGAUUCAGGACCGAGAGCUUGACCAUCUAAAAGGAAACCUCUAUUCAUACUGUCCAAGACACCGAAGACAGCCUCUCCCAGGUUACCCUGACAAAGUCCUUGAAGUCACCUUGGUUCACCUUGCUACAAGGUUCAAGAGCCAGGUACUCAGAUACUCUGCCUUUAUCUCCACAAGAGGUUUCUCACUUUGGAACAUGGAGUUCCCAAGUCAGGUUUUCUCUGUGUAGCCCUGACUAUCCUGGAAUUCCCUCAGUACACCAGGCUGGCAAGUAACUCAUGGAUCCACCUGCCUAUGUUGCUGGAAGUAAAGGUGUGCACCUCCACCACAAGGCUUCCUCAAGGCAUUUGUAAUCAUUCAACUACCAAAUGUGGAGAGUCUAGUGACCAUCCCCAGGCACCAGGCACAGGGAUAGCAGCUAAUGGGAAGCAGGCCCAGUAGCCCAAGCGAACAAAGUUCAGAGGGGCAGGAGGAAUACAUGUAGACACUCUACACAGCAGGGUGAUGUGAUGGGCCCCUGAGCCCUGUAGAAUGGAGAAAAGUAUGGGGGAAUAAAAGAGUAGAGGCCAGUGGCUAAGCUGCUCUAACCCUGAGGAUACCAUAGCAAUCUCUCCUAAGGUAUUCAGAGCAAAGGAUUCCUUGGCCCCUAGCACCUAAAAUAGACAGCAUGGACAGCCAUAACCCCGUGGGUGUGAGGGACGUGGGAAGGGAAUCAGCCAUGUUUGGAUUCUUUUCAGAGUUAAAUCCUAAUGGCUCCAUAUUCUGUGUGCAGGCCCUAGCCUAUUGACCUCCACAGUUGAACAGUGAAGAGGCAGGAAGGACUGAGGCUGCAGUUGACCUGGCCCAUGGUGAAGUCCUGCACUGGAUAACAGUCACUGAGAAUACCUUGGGAAGGAAUAUGAAGGUGUCCUGAGGAGGCAGAUCUAGGAGUGCACUUUUCCUUUCUAGAAGGCUGUCAACAAAACUGAAACAGGACUCUGGAGACAUUCCUGUCUCCUAUGAUUUAGAUGAUGGAAACUAAGUGUACCAAAUAAUGAAGCUUCACUAAGAGCCUGGACAGAAGGUAGCUUCUGUACCAGGUGUCACUAAACCAGUCACAGAAUGCAGGGGAAACAACAUCAGGCCUUUGGCAUCAGGCUCUAGAGAGUACUGCUGUAAGGUCUAGUGAAAGAAUGCUGACAUAGGUGAACUGUCCUACCGUCCAGAAAUUACAGCUAUGACUGAGACAUUUAUAGUAACCAAAGUUUUGAUUAAUGCACAGCUCCAUGCCCCUGAGAAUGUGAUACCUCAGUCCAAAGGAGGGCAGACCUGGCUGAAUUGGACAGUGCCCAGAAUCUCCUGUGUGGAAGGCAAUAUGCAAGCACAGACCUAGGACAGUCACAGUGACCUCAGAGGAUUAGGAAAAGAAAGCACAAUCCUCAGUACAGCUGGAUCAAGAUACAUCCAGGUGCAAGGAAGACAUUUAGGAUGUCUGUUCUGUGAAUAUAAAUUUGAUCCUGGCAACUUGGUAGUCCUUAAUAAAACUAAAAUUCUGUCUUCUUUGGCCCUCUCCAAGUUUGCAGAACUGCCUUUGAUCCUGGUCCAUGCAUGGGUCAUAAAAAUCCACCCUUCCUUGAGGCAGAGACUUGCAACCAGACCCUGAAGAUGUGUGAAACCUCCUGGCAGCUGUGAUGCUGGUGAUGAUCCUGUUUAAGUGAGCCAUAGACUUCAUUAAAUCCACUGGUGCCACGGACCACUCAGACGGAGGAUACCACUGUGGGAGAAGGAGGGCUCUGGUACUCAGGAAGGCACAGGUUUGGUGCAAUGACAGACAGACACAACACACUCAGGGUGAUUUGAAUCUGCUGCGAUUUUACUAAAUUUCUGCUUUGUGGUUAUAUACAAUGCUUGAACAGGAGCUAAUUUUUGGCCCCUUGCCAGGGUACAGUCAAACCAUAACAAAGAAAAAGUUUAACAGUUUAAAUGAAGUUCAGAACAGAAAGCAAGACAGGAAAUAAACUUUCCUGAGAAUCGGACUGGUGCCAGACGGUGGUCAUAAACCUCAUUUACCUCCAUCUCUAAAUAUCAUCUCUCGGAUAACAACAGGACAGCCAGCUGUAAGGAAUCUUUAGUCUUUUACUCUCUCUUAGCCAAAAUUUAUGUAAUCGUCUUUUUAAAGGUAGGAUAAUUCCUUUUGAUAAUAGGCAAGCAGGGGGAUGUGAUCUGGCCAAGUGUUUUAUAAAAUUUAAAGAAAAAUAUAAUACUCUCUUUCCAUCAAUAUUAACCCAUCUAUCACCUUCUUCAUUAUAUGUCGCUGUGUAGGGCAAUGGCUGUGCAGCGGUCCUGUAUCUACUCAGGCUGUUUUUACCUGGAGGAGGGGCCCACCACCUUCCUCUAAUUAAAUAAUGUUUUUUUUCCAUGUAACUACUUGAUAGGAAUUCCUAAAUGUAUGGAUUUUUUUUUUUAUAAUUGACGGGACUUUCCCCUCUAAUUGCUAGUGCCUUGAUUCUUUCACUAUCUAGGAGGUCUGGAUUAUCCACAGUUCAUUCUUCCUGUUAUAAGUUAUUGAUCACAUCUCUUAGAGUUUCAUUCUGAUUCUACUUAAUUUUUGCUAGUGCUUUCAAAAGAGGCAUGGUCCGUAAAGCCCAAAUCAGGUCUCGAUGUUCCCAUUAGUAGAAAAAGGAACAAAGGGGCCUGUUCAAAUCAGUAGGCAGAAAGUCGAGAGGAAGUGGCCAAGUGUCUCCAGGAGACCAGGUUCCGAGGAACACAUAUCUCUGGCCUGCUGACCACGAUUGUUUCAUGUCAGACAGGCUCCACUGGAGCUGGCCCAGCACUAUUUCAUGUGGGCUUUGCUUCCCAGGUGAGCAAUCGUUUCUCAUGGGUGAAUUGAGACCCAUUCCCUGCACGUGUGGCUGUAUAUAUCCAGGCAACUACACCAGAUCCCCUCACAUAAGCUUUCUGUUCCUUGCCUUCCCAACUAAGCUGCUUGAUUCAUGAGUGCAGCUUCCAAAAUUGAACAGAAUUAGUUUCUGGUACUGUAUAACAAGGAGGCAAGUCUCAUUACCUUGUAUGACACCUGAGAUUUAGAGCCAGACCUAAGCACAUGAAGUCAACUUUAAAGAGUGCAGACACGUGACUCUUUGUCCAGCCCACGUGGUGUUUUUAAGAAAGCACCAUCCAGAUCUACAAAAGGUUAUCGUAGGAAAGAAACAGUCAUUAUUCUACAGGACUAGAGGGCACAGUUCACAGGAGUGGGUAGAAGUAGGGAGGAGACCCAGAAUAUAGAGGGAUAGACAGAGCUGUCCCGCAGAGUAGAGUUCACCUUCCAUGCUCUUACUCAAAGUGGGCAGAAAUCCUGGCAAUAAACAGAACCCUAUAGCCUUCAACCUUCCCAUUAGAUCUCAGAUUCCUUGUUUAUUCUUACUGAAGAAUAAACAAGGGUACAGCAGGAACACUCAUAUUCUCUAGGUCACAAGGCCAUAGUAGGAAAUGAAGAGCUGUAUAGGCAAAAUACAUUGGAAAGAAUUUAGUCACCAAGAGCAUGCACUAUGUAUGGCUUCUGUGUAUGUAACCUUCAACAGCAGUGCCCGUGCUGAUCAGUGCACAAGAUGCUGGCCCAGCCUAAAGGAAAUAGAAAAUCAAAAUCUGCAUGGGUUUGCACAGGGCUGAUACUGCUUUUGUCUUCAAGGGAACUAACAGGUUAUGAGCCAGACUGGCUGGGAGUGCGGAGUUCCAAUGCAUCCUUGCUUGAAGGGUUUAUGUCCUUCUCUGUGUAUAAACGGGCCAACAAGUGCAUGGGUGCUGAAAGUUGUUUAGACAAUCUUGACAAUCAAAUGACAGUACCUGGGGGAAACCCCAGUCUAAGACCUGUUACAGAACAGAUGUUCAAUAAAUAUGUGCAGUCAUCGGACUCUUGCUCUGUCAGCCUUGACUAUGCCAGUCUUUCAGAAACUUCAGAGGAGAACUAGGCCAUCUUUGAGUUUGUGCAUCCUGCUUGACACCUCUGACAUUUAUUAUCAUGAAUAAACAUUACUUCCAAAAUCCCAAGUGGAAAAAGAAUGGGGCUGAAGGCUAUAAACACCUGAGUGGAAGUAUGCCAGGUGUUACCCACCUUUGUGUGACAUUGAGUUUGUUAUUGACACUCUGUGUCCUUCAGUCGUAGGGCUCAUUCUGCUGACUCUGAGAUGACCCAAUGAACCUGUAGGAGACCCAGAACUAGGUGCUAAUCCUCCUUUGAAAGAUACUACAGGGACAUCUCAUUUUCUCAGGGUAGUAGUGCUUCUAAGUAGUUUUCUCUUGGUUAAGAUUCAUGUAGACUCACUCUUAAGAAAACAUGAGUUUUCAGCCUUUGUGUCUCCUAGAUCUUGUUCCUGCUCAAGCAAGCUACAGUAAGAUGUCAGCCUGAAUACAGUUUUAAAGUACCAAGAGCUGAAUUAAUUAUUUCUAGAUUGGGGAAAAUACAAAACUAAAACGUAAGGCCAGGUUCAGAGCACCGGAAAUUUCAGGACUGAAAGUUGAUCUCUUGGGUUUAUUCAUUUAUCCGGUUCAACAAUAUUUGAGGCAUUCUUAACCAUUUAGUGGCAUUCUGUAGAACCGAUAGUCAGUUUCAUUUGAAGCUCAGUCGUAGCUGGAAAGAUCUGGGAAAAAUUGGAAACAGUAAAUGAGCCUCAGAGUAGGUAGAGUGGCCAAUAAGGGGAAGUUAGAGAAGAUGUCAUUAACGGGUCCCUGAAGCUGGAUUUGUUAGGAAUUUGUGCUCUGAGCAAGGGAGAUUAGAUUCCAUCCCAUGUUAGAAGUUUUAAUCAAGGAGGCAACAUGGGUGGACUGAUUGACUAACUAGCUUUCUAUUAAUUUUAGUCAGGAUCUCAGGCUACCAUCCAACUCAAAAUUCCCCUAUCUCAGCCUCUGAAGUGCUGGGAUUGCAGGGAUAUGCUUUUAUGCCUGGCUGACUCUCUGUCUCAAUAUCUCUCUGUGUCUCUCUGUUUGCCUCCACUUCUCUUUGUGUGUGUGUGUGUGUGUGUGUGUGUGUGUGUGUGCAUGUAACUGUCAGAUCCAUGAUCCAUGAUCAAUAUACUGAACAGUUCCAUUUAUGCUCACAAUAUGCCUGCUAUCAUCCUGCCAUAGUCACAAACAUCUCACCUUUAACAACUGCAACCAUAGAUUUCAUCUCUAUCACAAUGUUGUGUCACCACAAAAUGUCAUAUGCACAGAUAUGUUUCAGUCAGUAAAGUGUGUGCUGUGCAAGCAGGAGAAACUGCAUUUGGAUUCCUAGCAGAACCUUACUUCUACCAUCACCAUGACUGCCAACAUUAAAGAAAAGUUUGGAAAAGCAGUAUAUGUCUAUAAUCCCAGCAUGAGACAGGGGUUGGGAGAGUGAGAGAGGUCCCUGAAGUUUACUCUCCUGUCAGUUUAGCUGAAUUGGUGAAUUCCAGGUGCUGUAAGAGAUCACGUCUCUAACAAACACACAACUAAAACCAUGAAGAGUGAUGUGGUAAGUAAUGUAAAAGUCAACCUGUGGGUGGCAUGCACACUUGCUCACACUCACAAGUGCACACUGAUACCAACACCUGUACAUACCUAUAGCACAGGCAUCUAUGUGUGGACACAGAUAGUUUUGGAUUGAUAGUUCCAUGCUCUAAGGCAUUGUAAAAGUCUGUGAGAAACUGUCAAACUAUUUCCAGAGCAGCUGUGCUGGUUUCCAGUCAGUUAGCAAUGCCUGAGUGUUCCAAGUGAUCUCUCCACAUCAGCACCUGGUAAGGCCUGCUAAGUAGUUUGGUCAUUCUAAUAGCUCAGGGCUCUCUCAUUGUAGGGAUUUGAAUCCCUACAAUGUGCUAGGUAUGUGGAAUAUCUUUUUUUUCUCCUUUUUUGUUUUUAUCUUUAUUAACUUGAGUAUUUCUUAUUUACAUUUCGAUUGUUAUUCCCUUUCUUGGUUUCUGGGCCAACAUCACCCUAACCCCUCCCACUCCCCUUCUAUAUUGUUGUUCCCCUCCCCAUCCUCCCACCACUACCGCCCUCCCCCCAACAAUCACAUUCACUGGGGUUCAGUCUUGGCAGGACCAAGGGCUUCCCCUUCCACUGGUGUCCUUACUAGGCUAUUUAUUGCUACCUAUGUGGUUGGAGCCCAGGGUCAGUCCCUGUAAAGUCUUUGGGUAGUGGCUUAGUCCCUGGAAGCUCUGGUUGGUUGGCAUUGUUGUUCAUAUGGGGUCACGAGCACCUUCAAGCUCUUCCAGUCCUUUCUCUGAUUCCUUCAACGGGGGUCCUGUUCUCAGUUCAGUGGUUUAAUGAUGGCAUUCGCCUAUGUAUAUGCUGUAUUCUGGCUGUGUCUCUCAGGAGCGAUCUACAUCCGGCUCCUGUCGGCCUGCACUUCUUUGCUUCAUCCAUCUUGUCUAAUUGGGUGGCUGUAUAUGUAUGGGCCUCAUGUGGGGCAGGCUCUGAAUGGAUGUUCCUUCUGCCUCUGUUCUAAACUUUGCCUCCCUAUUCCCUGCCUAGGGUAUUCUUGUUCCCCCUUUUGAAGAAGGAGUGAAGCAUUCACAUUUUGGUCAUCUUUCUUGAGUUUCAUGUGUUCUGUGCAUUUAGGGUAAUUCAAGCAUUUGGGCUAAUAGGCACUUAUCAAUGAGUGCAUACCAUGUAUUUCUUUCUGUGAUUGGGUUACCUCACUCAGGAUGAUAUUUUCUAGUUCCAUCCAUUUACCUAUGAAUUUCAUAAAGUCAUCGUUUUUGAUAGCUGAGUAGUAUUCCAUUGUAUAGAUGUACCACAUUUUCUGUAUCUAUUCCUCUGUUGAAGGGCAUCUGGGUUCUUUCCAGCUUCUGGCUAUUAUAAGUAAGGCUGCUAUGAACAUAGUGGAGCACAUGUCUUUGUUACAUGUUGGGGCAUCUUGUGGGUAUAUGCCCAAGAGAGAUAUAGCUGGAUCUUCAGGUAGUUCAAUGUCCAAUAAUCUGAGGAACCUCGAGAUUGAGUUCCAGAAUUGUUGAACCAGUCUGCAAUCUCACUAACAAUGGAAGAGUGUUCCUCUUUCUCCACAUCCUCGCCAGCAUUUGCUGUCACCUGUGUGUUUGAUCUUAGCCAUUCUCACUGGUGUGAGGUGAAAUCUCAGGGUUGCUUUGACUUGCAUUUCCCUUAGGACUAAAGAUGUUGACCAUUUCUUUAGGUGUUUCUCUGCCAUUCGGCAUUCCUCAGCUGUGCAUUCUUUGUUUAGCUCUGAACCCCAUUUUUACUAGGGUUAUUUGUCUUCCUGCAGUCUAUCUUCUUGAGUUCUUUGUAUAUUUUGGAUAUAAGAUCUCUAUCAGUUGUAGGAGUGGUAAAGAUCUUUUCCCAAUCUACAUUUCACUGAUGACUACAGAUGAACAUUUUAAGAACUCUAUCUUAAUUAUUUUUAUUUCACUGGAACCAGGUGACAUUUUAAUUUGUAAUUCAUUCUCUAUAUUCUAGAAUGGUUGUCAGACCUCUACAGAUAAGGGUUUCUGUUUGUUUUGUUUUGUUUUGUUUGUUUUUGGAUAGUCAAUAGUGGUUAACACAGAAUCUCACAAUUGCUCAAAGUGGAGGGAAUAAGUGCCUAUUUGGCACUUUACAAUUGAGUUAAGUGUGUGGUAAUUUACACUGGUUGUGUAGAUGCCCAUAAGAUAAGUUACUAAGGACCAUUCCUAAGUACAGACACAAUGCAGCCCUCAUUCCUCUCCUCAUUUUUCUCCAUAGUGGUUCUUUAAUGCUCCUCAUUUAAUGUUAUUUAUUUGGUUUUUAAAAUAAAUAGCACAAUAGGAAAUGUCAAAAAGGUAUACAGAGCUACAAAAGAAAACAUCCCUUUCUCUUUCUAUACCUCCUCGUUUUGUCCCGACCCACCCCAUUAACAGAAAAUCAUGAUUAAUGAUUUCGUAUGUAUACUUUCAGACUUAAUCUCAGUCAUGCACGGAUAUAAAUGUACAUGUUCUCCUACUUUCACUUUUCUCCUCAAACAUUCUAAACAAGGACUCUACUGCAAAGACUCCCGUUUUAACUAAAAGUAGGUAUUGCACUUGGUUUUGCAUGUGUGUAUGUGAGUGUGUGGAGGUCAGAGGUCAACCUGUCAGACUUGAUACUCUCUUUCUACCAUGUGGACCCUUAGGGAGGACUUUAGGUUGUCAGGCUUGACAAGAAGUGUCUCAUACUCCCAAGGCAGUCUCCCUGCCCACCCUCCCAUCCCUAUGUUUCAUUUUUUAAUUCAGCGGUAGCGUCUUACACACAAGUUGUGUGCUGCCAUGCUUCCUUUAACAAUACAUCUUGGAAACCUUUCUAUAAAGGAACCUUCUAAUGCUUUGAAGUAAGGUCUGGAUACAUAGAUCAGGCUGGCCUUGAACUCUGAACUUCCAGUCUCAGCCUCUGAACAUUACUAGGAACACGGAAGUGUGCCAGCCUGUCCCUACUUCUCAGCCUUUUUCUUUAACUAUUUUUGAGGUGAGUUCAUUAUACAGAUGUAUUCAUGGAUGGCUUCCAAUUCUUUGCUUUUGUUAUAGUGUGUGAGCUUUGCUCAUUAGUACCAGUUUACAUGAUUACGUCGUAGGAUAAAGCCCACAUGGCUUCUUUUCUGGCCUCUGAAUAUUUUUAGUUGAUGUGUUUGAGUCUGUUCCAAAGUUAUGCACAUCUUUCUUCUAUUAAAAACCAAAACUGUACACAAUACACAUAAUCAUUACACACCUGAGCACAGGAAGAUUACGUUUCGGUCUUUUUGUUCUUGCAACCACAUGGUGGCUCACAACCAUCUGUAAUGAUAUCUGUGCCCUCUUCUGAUGUGUCUGAAGACAGUGACAGUGUACUCAUACAUGAAGUAAAUAAUAAAUCCUUAAAAAAAGUUUUUAUUGUAUAUGAGUACACUAGCUUUCUUCAGAUACAUCAGAAGAGGGCACCAGAUCCCCCUGUAGAUGGUUGUGAGCCACUAUGUGGUUGCUGGGAUUUGAACUGAGGACCUCUGGCAGAGCAGUCAGUGCUCUCAAACUCUGAGCCAUCUCUCCAGCCCGACAUCAUCUUAAGAAAGCAUUUUCUGUGUGUGUGUGUGUGUGUGUGUGUGUGUGUGUGUGUGUGUGUGAGAGAGAGAGAGAGAGAGAGAGAGAGAGAGAGAGAGAGAGAGAGAAAGAAGAAUUCAGUAGAACACCCAAGUGGAAUCUGCUAAGACCCAUUCAUUAUACCUGAUGAUGGUAAAAAUGCAUAUGGAACAGAAAAAGGCAAAUUAACAAAAUGGUGAGCCCAGGAAACGUAGUAAAUGUUCAAGCUUAUGAUUAUUUAUUGUAUUAUUCACUAGCAGAUACUUUAAGAGUUGGACUGAGUUUCAAUUCUAGAAACUUAUAGUUUAGGGAGGUGGCAGCCCGCUGGCUCACACUGGUCUUGGAAACCCUUCCAAUGUAAGAGUUCUCACAUCUGGACUGUAACUAAGGCUGUCAGGUGAGAGAAGAGAUGGAAUGGUGGCUGAUAGCUGCUGGUGCUUGGCUCUCUUUUCUUUUAAAGCUAAAACUAGAAUUUCAAACUCAUCUGAAACCUAAACAAGUGUUUGGAAUUUCUGUUCUUUCCACAUCACAACUGCCCUCUUGUGGAUAUUUUGUUCAUUCAAAAUAAAAGUUCAUUGGCAUUCAUUUCAACAAGAACGACACUUUGCAGCAAUGAUGAUGAUGAUGAUGAUGAUGAUGAUGAUGAUGAUGAUGAUGAU